RNAcentral lists this ribosomal RNA (422 nucleotides) under uncultured bacterium. RNAcentral describes it as "partial 16S ribosomal RNA". It matches the Rfam family "Bacterial small subunit ribosomal RNA", at positions 359 to 774 of the family's 1533-position model. The record is from RNAcentral.
GAAUUUUGGACAAUGGGCGAAAGCCUGAUCCAGCAAUGCCGCGUGCAGGAUGAAGGCCUUCGGGUUGUAAACUGCUUUUGUACGGAACGAAAAGCUUUGGGUUAAUACCCUGGAGUCAUGACGGUACCGUAGUAAUAAGCCCCGGCUAACUACGUGCCAACAGCCCCGGUAAUACGUAGGGUGCAAGCGUUAACCGGAAUUACGGGGCGUAAGGCUGGGGAGGGCGGUUUUGUAGGAAAGAGAGGAAAUCCCCGGGCUCAACCUGGGAACGGCCUUUGUGACUGCAAGGCUAGAGUACGGCAGAGGGGGUUGGAAUUCCGCGUGUAGCAGGGAAAUGCGUAGAUAGGCGGAGGAACACCGAUGGCGAAGGCAACCCCCUGGGCCUGUACUGACGCUCAGGCACGAAAGCGUGGGAGCAAACA